Dermacentor andersoni is the source of this 698-nucleotide long non-coding RNA. RefSeq lists it as uncharacterized. Lineage: Eukaryota; Metazoa; Arthropoda; Arachnida; Ixodida; Ixodidae. The record is from RefSeq and is a predicted model, not a curated record.
ACAACACGCGAAAAAGGCAGUUUUUUUUUCUGAGCCAGUUCUUGUUGGUGUGAAAACUCGUCACAUCAAGAGGUAGUGGGUUUGAGUGAAGUGUCAGGUAUAACGGUUAAGCCUUUACAGAGUGCAGGUCACUUGUCAAGUGCACAGCCAUUCGUGUUCUGUGUCAAGGACAGCUGUGCUGCACCGUCCGUCCGUGAUACGACGCCCGUCCGGCCACCGCUCUCUUGUGCCAUGCAUACGCCGCGGACCAAUGGGCAGAGAAUUGGGAAACUCCGCUGUGGGACCUCAGUUCAAGUCCCUCCAUCGGGCACGCUGAAAAGGCCCCGUGCGGGGCGAGGCUGGAACCUACCCACCAACUGACCGCAAAACGCCUGGGAAUGGAAGGACGGAAACGUGCGGUCUCGCACCUGGGGGCUCAGCGGUCGAAGGCUUCCCUGGCACAGCUGCUCACACAGUCGCUGCAUUGGUGCCAGCGACAGAAGCUGCGCUGGCCGCACGCUGGAGCUCAGGGACCGAACCAGCUUGGGUCUCCAAUACAUCAGGCAGCAUUGUGGCGCCAUCUAUGAGGCUCUAGUACCACACCAAGGCCAAAAGCCCGGAUUCAUCAAAUUCAGCUGCCUUGGAGACCAACGCCAGCUGGGGUUCCAGCAAGGACUCGGCUGCGCUGCCCUUUCCCUGGCAGCAGCGGGCCAACAACC